Molecule: unclassified non-coding RNA, 240 nt
Filed under: soil metagenome
Description: partial contains 5.8S ribosomal RNA, internal transcribed spacer 2, and large subunit ribosomal RNA
Source: RNAcentral
AACCUUAUGGACCUGCGGGCGUAUACCUGCGGAGGGAUCAUUAUUGAAUUUUAAUGAAGAGUCUGGUUGUAGCUGGUCCAUUUAAUUGGGCAUGUGCACACCUUUCUCUUUCAUCCAUACACACCUGUGAACCUGUGAGACAGAUGGGAAAUUUUUGCUUAUUUAUUUUUUGAAAUACAAAGAUAACUGAGUGAUUUGGACCCCUCUGUCUACUCAAUUCAAUAUAAACUCAAUUUAUUU